This is a long non-coding RNA of Pseudopipra pipra, 1674 nucleotides long. RefSeq lists it as uncharacterized. NCBI's taxonomy places the organism in Eukaryota, Metazoa, Chordata, Aves, Passeriformes, Pipridae. The record is from RefSeq and is a predicted model, not a curated record. The transcript is spliced from 2 exons.
CCUGAAUGCUAUCUACUUUAUUCAUGAGGCAUCAAUUUUUUUCCAUGGUCUCAUCAUCAUUAUAAACACCUGUUUUUCUCAUUCCCAUUUAUCUGUCAGUGGCAUUGCUCCUGUGUUUCCCUUUAGAUUCAUAAAGAGCCAGGUGCUACAGUGUGCCCUCAUUCUGUGAUCAAGGACACCAGCUUCCUAUGAAGCAAAUAGGUUUUCACAAGCUGUAAACAGAUUACACCUUCAGAGUGACUGAUAAAUGUCAGGAAGAAGAAAGGUCAGGUGUCUGGUACUGCAAGGUUGCUCUAAUGAGCUCUGUUAACAGAGAAAAUCAGAGAUCAGGAAUUCAUCAUUGUCUUCUAGAAAUAGUGUCUGAAAAGUAGAAUUAAAAUAGGAAAGGGCUCAACGUGUUUUGUAUUAGGAUUUUCACAGAAAAUCCAGACAGAUGCUGUCAGUGUACUGUCUGAUUUCUAGGAUUACUGAAAAGGGGAAGAGGAUCACAGGCCACAGUUCCAAGUUCCUUGUUCCCAGAUCUGAUAGACCAAGAGCAGUUCAUAACUCAUGGUCUAAGGCUAGAGGAAGGAAGCACAGGGCUGUACUAGGCUGCAGCUCUGGCCCUGGUCUGUGUGAUCAGGCAGUGCACUGUGUCCUAGCUGCCUGAGACAGAGCUCAGACGCUGGAAAGUGGUCAAGGCAGAAAGAGCCUCUAGCAACCAAAAAUAGGAAGGUAUAGGAUAGGAAACCAAGCCAGAUGAAGAAAUACACAGGAAAUAAACUGGGUGAAAGGGAGAUAAAAACAAUAUACUAUAGAAAUAAAAGAACAAAUUUCAAAAUAAAAGAGAGUUACACAGCAUUGACUCUAGAUAGCGCACCUGUAAUUCCAGAGUGAAGAAAUCUCAGUGGAGUCAUCAAGGGCACACACUGGUCCGUGGAAGAUUUCUGUUACCUCUCUCAUUUCCUCAGGAUGCCCCUACCUUGUUGAGAACCAAUAAAUGUAGUUCAGACUGUAAGGAACUGUGACUUACAUGCCGCAACUCUCUAAAAUAUUUCAUAAAUGCAAUUGAUGCGGCAGAUAUAAAAGACACACUCGUGUAGAUAAAAUUGCAUGAGAAAAGUGUUUAUUUUACCAGUUUCACACUGGGGUGAAGGGGAAAGAACUGCUUAAAAAAUCUGGAGCUAUGACCACACCAGAAUGCUCAGCAGUAAACUAUGUUAGCGUUUCCCUGGAAGCAAAACACUUGGUUCAGGCAUGAUCACAGCAUCUGACCUCUCUGUUAACAACAAAAAUGAAAGUGUGAAGUGUGGAUGUGGCUUGCUCACUGUAGAAUGCUAGGCCUAAUGUUUAACUACCCAUAGCCCAGCUGACCUGAAAUCCUGGAACUGAGGUUAAUGUAUGCAUGUGUGGAGCCACCACGUAUCUCUGCACAAGAAUGCAUAGGGUAAUCUUUCUUGUAGCACUGACAAGAACAUUUACAUUUUUUUUCCAGGUUCUGUAGUUAUGAUCUGAAAUGUCAGAAUCAGUAACUUCAAUUUAAAAAGGCUCUACCCUCUUAUGAAAAUUUAUGAGGGCAAUACUAUCUAAACACAGUGGCUUUAAGAACUGGUGUCCUGGUUCUGGCCCAGAUCAGAAGGAAGGGAUGUGACCAAGCCACAUUACUCUUUCCAGUAAAUUGUUGUUUCCAGUAAA